This 136-nucleotide small RNA is filed under the name Algibacter lectus. RNAcentral's name for it is "Flavo-1 RNA". It matches the Rfam family "Flavo-1 RNA". Lineage: Bacteria; Pseudomonadati; Bacteroidota; Flavobacteriia; Flavobacteriales; Flavobacteriaceae. The record is from Rfam by way of RNAcentral.
UUUUAGCCCUGAUAGCAGCGGCAUCCUUUUUUGUGUUAUUUAAUAGGACUAAACGUAGGUUGAAGAAAAAGGUUUAAGAUGAAGAGAAACUUUAAGGCUACCUACAAAAAAGAUAUAGCGGAUAGCAGGAAAUAGC